CGGCGAGUGAGCGGCAAAAGCUCAAAUUUGAAAUCUGGUACCUUUGGUGCCCGAGUUGUAAUUUGGAGAGUACCACUUUGGGACUGUACUUUGCCUAUGUUCCUUGGAACAGGACGUCAUGGAGGGUGAGAAUCCCGUGUGGCGAGGGUGUCAGUUCUUUGUAAAGGGUGCUCGAAGAGUCGAGUUGUUUGGGAAUGCAGCUCUAAGUGGGUGGUAAAUUCCAUCUAAAGCUAAAUACAGGCGAGAGACCGAUAGCGAACAAGUACAGUGAUGGAAAGAUGAAAAGAACUUUGAAAAGAGAGUGAAAAAGUACGUGAAAUUGUUGAAAGGGAAGGGCAUUUGAUCAGACAUGGUGUUUUGCGCCCCUUGCCUCUCGUGGGCUUGGGACUCUCGCAGCUCACUGGGCCAGCAUCGGUUUUGGCGGCCGGAAAAAACCUAGGGAAUGUGGCUCUGCGCCUCGGUGUAGAGUGUUAUAGCCCUGGGGAAUACGGCCAGCCGGGACCGAGGACUGCGAUACUUGUUAUCUAGGAUGCUGGCAUAAUGGUUAUAUGCCGCCCGUCU
This 561-nucleotide ribosomal RNA is filed under the name Nakaseomyces glabratus. Its description in RNAcentral is "[Candida] glabrata partial large subunit ribosomal RNA". It matches the Rfam family "Eukaryotic large subunit ribosomal RNA", at positions 87 to 654 of the family's 3401-position model. Lineage: Eukaryota; Fungi; Ascomycota; Saccharomycetes; Saccharomycetales; Saccharomycetaceae. The record is from RNAcentral.